AGGGUCUUCUAGGCCCGACCUCCCACCCUUUGUUUACCCGACCCAUGUUGCUUCGGCGGGCCCGCCGUUUCGACGGCCGCCGGAGGACCGCCUAUUCAGGUCCUCUGGCCCGCGCCCGCCGGUAGCCAAUUCUACCAAACUCUUGAAUCAAAUCGUGUCCAAUGUCUGAGUAUAUUACAAAAUAAAAGCAAAACUUUCAACAACGGAUCUCUUGGUUCUGGCAUCGAUGAAGAACGCAGCGAAAUGCGAUAAGUAAUGCGAAUUGCAGAAUUCCAGUGAGUCAUCGAAUCUUUGAACGCACAUUGCGCCCUUUGGUAUUCCGAAGGGCAUGCCUGUUCGAGCGUCAUUAUCACCCCUCAAGCCCCCCGGCUUGGUGUUGGACGGUCUGGUCGAGCGUUUCCGCGCGACCCCUCCCAAAGACAAUGACGGCGGCCUGGUUGGACCCCCGGUACACGGAGCUUCUUCACUGAGCACGUAUCGGUUUCAAGGUGUCCCCGGGACCCGGUCGACCUCUCUUGCUCCCCUGCGGGAGUGGAGAGAACCCCCCUUUUUAUCAAGGUUGACCUCGGAUCAGGUAGGAAUACCCGCUGAACUUAAGCAUAUCAAAAACGGAGGAAAUGUUUGGCUCCCGCCACCCCACCUUGUAUUCAACAGAUUCUUCCCGGGCGCGUUUAGAGCGGAGACCAAUAGUCCGGCGCGCGGGA
Molecule: ribosomal RNA, 704 nt
Filed under: Exophiala dermatitidis
Lineage: Eukaryota; Fungi; Ascomycota; Eurotiomycetes; Chaetothyriales; Herpotrichiellaceae
Description: eukaryotic LSU rRNA
Rfam family: 5.8S ribosomal RNA (bases 192-346)
Source: RNAcentral